Molecule: long non-coding RNA, 2997 nt
Organism: Phymastichus coffea
Lineage: Eukaryota; Metazoa; Arthropoda; Insecta; Hymenoptera; Eulophidae
Exons: 3
Source: RefSeq, a predicted model, not a curated record
CAAGGCUUGCACUUUUUCCGCCACGCAGGCAGCUGUUGAGCCGAGCCACAAUAGUGGAGCGCACCGUAAUUCGUAUAGGCGCGUAGCCCUCACCGUCGCGUUUCCACAAGGAAACAAUCCAAAGUUCGCGCGCGAGCGUCGCACGGCACUACCCCUCGCGAUCCCCCGGGACGCUGACGCCGCGACGCCCGGAACGGACGAUCGCUCGCGCCACGAUACCGCUCCGAGGGGAACCCGAGCGAGUCGUCGGGGAUCGCGUCUUGGGCGGUAGCGGCAGCCGCGCAGACCACGUGGACUCCGAUUGCCACGCGAAGGUAAGACGAGACGCCGCGCCGGAUUCGCUUUCGACGAGCUCGGCGGAAUCGGACGCCGCGCGCCUCGGAAUCUCCGAUAAACGGCGCGGAGCCCUCGGCAAGGGGUCCACGUUAGCGCGACCUCUGCGCCCCUGCGCCCCGACUUUACGGCCUGUAAUAAAGUCAUUUGGCCGCCGCCGAGCCUGCGCGAGAUCGCUUCGGUCGGGCCGGCGGCGCCCGCCUCCUCCCUCGACCUCGCGCGGCAUUUUACGGCGCCGUCUCGCGAAUCGGUUCCCCCGACUGUGGAGCUGCGAGGACGACGCGGAUAUAAGUCGGCGUUGACAUUGCGGAACGAGAAGAAGAACCUAUCUGACUACGAUUCGUCGGAGAGAAAUCGAGACGCGAUUCAUUCUAAUUUCGCGGCCUCUCACGAUCGUUACUUUUUUUCACCUCUGGCGGAUAUUAAGAAGCUUGACUCGUGCGGGUUUCUAAUAUCUGCCUGCCUACAUUCCAGCCUUUUUUUCCAUCAAACGUGAUUGGUUUGACGAUUCGAGAUAGAGAGAGAGAGGCGGGGGGAGGGGAGACGAGCACGCGAAGUGCCGCGGUGAAAUCGAAUCCGAUUCAUUUUGUCGGCCAAUCGCCAAUUUGCCGCGGCAAUAUCUUUCCGAUGAAACCUAUUAGCCUCGGAGGAGUCGCUCGUCGUCUGGAUCCGGCGUCCCCCAGCGGGAGAGGAAAAUUGGCAGCAAUUUGAAUACGGCGUUCCGUUUGGCCGACGCCACGGAACGCAAUCCGGGUCGACACGCUCGCGGGCGAAAGCAGCUGAUCGCCCGCUAAUUGGGCUUCCGAUCGUCGAGCAGAUACGUAUUGCCGCGGAGCCUGCGAGUUGCUCCGGCCGCGCGCGCCGGUCGACCAGUCGCCCCGGAGCUUUCUGGAAUCACGUGUCGGGAAAGUGGACGGGCGCAAUGCACGAUUCGGCGUCGCGUCGAUUGCGAUAUCGCGAGAGCGAGCGCCAAACUUUCCUCUGCGGCUGUAAAAGUCGUCCGCGAUCCGACGGCAGCCUCUGCCCAAGAUGCGCCGACGCAGUCCGCGUACCUCGCGCGUUUCGGCGAAAGUUAUAAUUGGAGCCGCGCGGGUAUCGUGAGAAGCUGUCGACGCCAGACGCGUUUUUCGCCUUACUCGAGCCGACGGCACGUCGACGCUCCCGACGUCGUCCGAGCCGAGCUGUUCUGCCUAUCUCUCUCCCGAUUCGGUCUGCACGCCUCAUUGAGUACUAAUGAGUGCCGACUGCCACGAUCAGCCGAUCGUCCGCGGAAACAAAAGCGGCGAUCAAAUAGAUUUCAAUUAUGCGAAAUGUAUCUCUCUCUCUCUCUCUCUCUGCGUGGUAAUUUGACGAUUGCGCGCUGGAAUCAUCGAGGGAAGGCAACUUUUUACUGCUCCAUCGGCUCGUCAAUCCAGCGAUUGUUAGUCGAGGAUGGAUUUAUGACCAAAUACAGCGAUGAAAAAGAUGCCGAUCAUUCCAUGCGUCGUGAAGUAAAAGGACCUAUCACAUUAAAAAUUAAGGUAUCUCGUCAGACAGUAACUUGUCAUUAAAAAGUCGUAAAGAUAUAUAAGACACAUAAACAAAGGAAAUCAAGACUAGAUGUCUUAUCACGGUUCAGACUCGCUCAAGAAGAGUAUAACUUGCUUUAAAGAGAGACUAGUGGUGCAGUAAUUAACAAUAUAAAAUAAAUAAAUACAUGCGUAACUCACAAUACAAACAAAAAGAGUGGUCAAUAGUCAAACUUAAGAGUUUAAGACAAGAAAGUAUUUUCGCACCCCAUCCUUGAAGACAGCAAGCCAAGACAAAAUCUGUAGAGAUGAAGAGAGUUCUAUAGCACUUGUAGUACACAGAACAUAGGAUGACAAGAAAAAGAUCAAUUACAUUUUUAAGAAUAACAAGACAUUGGUUAUUGACAUAAAGUUGGGAUACGUAAGACAAUCUACAAUGGAUGAUGUUCGGAUGGAAUAAGAAACAAAAUUAGAAUUAAUUCUGCCUAAUAACGCAGUUUCCGAAUAGCAGAUCAAGCGUAAAGCGAAGACUUGAAUGAUUCCACAGAGGGUUAAAUUCGUAUCGAGUUAGAUAGCGAGAGAGGCGAAGAGGUAGAGGUAGAUGGAAUGAGAGAGAGAGGCGCGUUGCGGAACGGCGCCUCUCUCGUGUCAAUCGAACGCCUCGUCGCGCUUACGUAAGCUGGCACGAGGCGUGAGCAGGCGUCGAUCAGCGUUUCAACGGAUCGACCGCAGUAGGUGAACGUCACCGGCUAUAGCUCGCCGAUCGCGGCGGACGCCGGUAUAUUUGCCGAUCGCGCCGCGCGGCAACGAGCGAUUGGGUCUGACGUCGUCAGAGAGAGGAGGAGGGGCGGAAGAAUCGGUAAGGAGGGCCGCAAACGCUCGGGCCGAACCGACUGCACGUCGCUGCCGUUUCGAUCGGCGCUUCGCUCGCGGACACCCGACGUUCGAGCGCCGUUUCGCCGGGGAGCAGGCCGGGCAAGUGGAGGCAUCAGCCUUCGCCAGCCGUUCGAGCGCCGAGCCGCUGCGAGCGAACGAUGGAAGGCUCUUCGCGAAGCGCGCGCCCACGCUCCUGCGCAUCCCCCUCGCUGCGAGGCACAAAUAGCCGAGUUCGUCGUAUAAGUCGGCAGCGCGGAGCGCGCGCUCAACCGGAACUCGC